RNAcentral lists this unclassified non-coding RNA (349 nucleotides) under soil metagenome. RNAcentral's name for it is "partial contains 5.8S ribosomal RNA, internal transcribed spacer 2, and large subunit ribosomal RNA". The stretch from base 1 to 120 matches the Rfam family "5.8S ribosomal RNA", at positions 35 to 154 of the family's 154-position model. The record is from RNAcentral.
GAUGAAGAACGCAGCGAAAUGCGAUACGUGAUGUGAAUUGCAGAAUUCAGUGAAUCAUCGAGUCUUUGAACGCACAUUGCGCCCCCUGGUAUUCCGGGGGGCAUGCCUGUCCGAGCGUCAUUGCUGCCCUCAAGCACGGCUUGUGUGUUGGGCCUCCGCCCCCCGGCUCCCGGGGGGCGGGCCCGAAAGGCAGCGGCGGCACCGCGUCCGGUCCUCGAGCGUAUGGGGCUUCGUCACCCGCUCCGUAGGCCCGGCCGGCGCCCGCCGGCGACCCCCCUCAAUCUUUCCAGGUUGACCUCGGAUCAGGUAGGGAUACCCGCUGAACUUAAGCAUAUCAAUAAGCGGAGGA